This 525-nucleotide ribosomal RNA is filed under the name uncultured bacterium. RNAcentral describes it as "bacterial SSU rRNA". It matches the Rfam family "Bacterial small subunit ribosomal RNA", at positions 818 to 1346 of the family's 1533-position model. The record is from RNAcentral.
AGUUGUGGGAACCUUCCACGGUUUGUGCGACGCAGCUAACGCAUUAAGCGCCCCGCCUGGGGAGUACGAUCGCAAGAUUAAAACUCAAAGGAAUUGACGGGGCCCCGCACGAGCAGCGGAGCAUGCGGCUUAAUUCGACGCAACGCGAAGAACCUUACCAAGGCUUGACAUAUACAGGAAUAUGGCAGAGAUGUCAUAGCCGCGAGGUCUGUAUACAGGUGGUGCAUGGUUGUCGUCAGCUCGUGUCGUGAGAUGUUGGGUUAAGUCCCGCAACGAGCGCAACCCUCGUUCUGUGUUGCCAGCAUUUAGUUGGGGACUCACAGGAGACUGCCGGGGUUAACUCGGAGGAAGGUGGGGAUGACGUCAAAUCAUCAUGCCCCUUAUGUCUUGGGCUGCACGCAUGCUACAAUGGCUGGUACAAACGGCUGCGAUACCGCAAGGUGGAGCGAAUCCGAUAAAGCCAGUCUCAGUUCGGAUUGGGGUGUGCAACUCGACCCCAUGAAGUCGGAGUUGCUAGUAAUCGUA